UGGGGAAUCUUGGACAAUGGGCGCAAGCCUGAUCCAGCCAUGCCGCGUGAGUGAUGAAGGCCUUAGGGUCGUAAAGCUCUUUCGCCUGUGAAGAUAAUGACGGUAGCAGGUAAAGAAACCCCGGCUAACUCCGUGCCAGCAGCCGCGGUAAUACGGAGGGGGUUAGCGUUGUUCGGAAUUACUGGGCGUAAAGCGCACGUAGGCGGACCAGAAAGUUGGGGGGUGAAAUCCCGGGGGCUCAACCCCGGAACUGCCUCCAAAACUAUUGGUCUAGAGUUCGAGAGAGGUGAGUGGAAUUCCAAGUGUAGAGGUGAAAUUCGUAGAUAUUUGGAGGAACACCAGUGGCGAAGGCGGCUCACUGGCUCGAUACUGACGCUGAGGUGCGAAAGUGUGGGGAGCAAACAGGAUUAGAUACCCUGGUAGUCCACACCGUAAAACGAUGAAUGCCAGUCGUCGGGUAGCAUGCUAUUCGGUGACACACCUAACGGAUUAAGCAUUCCGGCCUGGGGAGUACGGUCGCAAGAUUAAAACUCAAAUGAAUUG
This 543-nucleotide ribosomal RNA is filed under the name uncultured bacterium. RNAcentral describes it as "bacterial SSU rRNA". It matches the Rfam family "Bacterial small subunit ribosomal RNA", at positions 355 to 912 of the family's 1533-position model. The record is from RNAcentral.